ACAUAGGUGGCGAGCGUUAUCCGGAUUUAUUGGGUGUAAAGGGUGCACAGGUGGUUUUGUAAGUUUGAUGUUAAAUUCUGGGGCUCAACCCCAGCCUGCAUUGAAAACUGCAAGACUAGAAUAUCGGUGGGAACAGUGGAAUUCCAUGUGUAGCGGUGGAAUGCAUAAAUAUAUGGAGGAACACCAAUGGCGAAGGCAGCUGUUUGAACGAUAAUUGACACUUAAGCACGAAAGCGUGGGUAGCAAAUAGG
Molecule: ribosomal RNA, 251 nt
Filed under: uncultured bacterium
Lineage: Bacteria
Description: partial 16S ribosomal RNA
Rfam family: Bacterial small subunit ribosomal RNA
Source: RNAcentral